CGAACGCUGGCGGCGUGCUUUACACAUGCAAGUCGACCGGAAAGGCCCUGCUUUUGUGGGGUGCCCGAGUGGCGAACGGGUGAGUAACACGUGAGUAACCUGCCCUUGACUUUGGGAUAACUUCAGGAAACUGGGGCUAAUACCGGAUAGGAGCUCCUGCUGCAUGGUGGGGGUUGGAAAGUUUCGGCGGUUGGGGAUGGACUCGCGGCUUAUCAGCUUGUUGGUGGGGUAGUGGCUUACCACGGCUUUGACGGGUAGCCGGCCUGAGAGGGUGACCGGCCACAUUGGGACUGAGAUACGGCCCAGACUCCUACGGGAGGCAGCAGUGGGGAAUAUUGCACAAUGGGCGGAAGCCUGAUGCAGCAACGCCGCGUGCGGGAUGACGGCCUUCGGGUUGUAAGCCGCUUUCGCCUGUGACGAAGCGUGAGUGACGGUAAUGGGUAAAGAAGCACCGGCUAACUACGUG
This 466-nucleotide ribosomal RNA is filed under the name uncultured bacterium. RNAcentral describes it as "partial 16S ribosomal RNA". It matches the Rfam family "Bacterial small subunit ribosomal RNA", at positions 30 to 507 of the family's 1533-position model. The record is from RNAcentral.